This 858-nucleotide ribosomal RNA is filed under the name Streptococcus suis. RNAcentral's name for it is "partial 23S ribosomal RNA". It matches the Rfam family "Bacterial large subunit ribosomal RNA", at positions 974 to 1845 of the family's 2925-position model. The record is from RNAcentral. Lineage: Bacteria; Bacillati; Bacillota; Bacilli; Lactobacillales; Streptococcaceae.
UGGUCGGCAGUCAGACUGCGAGUGCUAAGAUCCGUAGUCGAAAGGGAAACAGCCCAGACCACCAGCUAAGGUCCCAAAAUAAUUGUUAAGUGGAAAAGGAUGUGGGGUUGCACAGACAACUAGGAUGUUAGCUUAGAAGCAGCUAUUCAUUCAAAGAGUGCGUAAUAGCUCACUAGUCGAGUGACCCUGCGCCGAAAAUGUACCGGGGCUAAAACAAUUUACCGAAGCUGUGGAUAACACAUUAGUGUUAUGGUAGGAGAGCGUUCUAUGUGUGAAGAAGGUAUACCGUGAGGAGUGCUGGAACGCAUAGAAGUGAGAAUGCCGGUAUGAGUAGCGAAAGAUGGGUGAGAAUCCCAUCCACCGUAAGACUAAGGUUUCCAGGGGAAGGCUCGUCCGCCCUGGGUUAGUCGGGACCUAAGGAGAGACCGAAGGGUGUAUCCGAUGGACAACAGGUUGAUAUUCCUGUACUAGAGUAUGAAGUGAUGGAGGGACGCAGUAGGCUAACUAAAGCGGGCGAUUGGAAGAGCCCGUCUAAGCAGUGAGGUGUGAUAUGAGUCAAAUGCUUGUAUCUGUAACAUUGAGCUGUGAUGGGGAGCGAAGAUAAGUAGCGAAGUUAGUGACGUCACACUGCCGAGAAAAGCUUCUAGCGAUGUAUCAUACUCUACCCGUACCGCAAACCGACACAGGUAGUCGAGGCGAGUAGCCUCAGGUGAGCGAGAGAACUCUCGUUAAGGAACUCGGCAAAAUGACCCCGUAACUUCGGGAGAAGGGGUGCUGACUUAAAGUCAGCCGCAGUGAAUAGGCCCAAGCAACUGUUUAUCAAAAACACAGCUCUCUGCUAAAUCGUAAGAUGAUGUA